GCCGGGCGUAGUGGCGGGCGCCUGUAAUCCCAGCUACUCAGGAGGCUGAGGCAGGAGAAUCGCUUGAACCCGGGAGACAGAGGUUGCAGUGAGCCGAGAUAGCGCCACUGCACUCCAGCCUCGGUGACAGAGCGAGACUCUGUCUCAA
This 148-nucleotide non-coding RNA is filed under the name Chlorocebus sabaeus (green monkey). The record is from Rfam by way of RNAcentral. Lineage: Eukaryota; Metazoa; Chordata; Mammalia; Primates; Cercopithecidae.